RNAcentral lists this long non-coding RNA (268 nucleotides) under Sinocyclocheilus anshuiensis. RNAcentral's name for it is "lncRNA (ENSSANG00000016731.1)". The record is from RNAcentral. Lineage: Eukaryota; Metazoa; Chordata; Actinopteri; Cypriniformes; Cyprinidae.
CACAGGUGUGUGUUCAUCAUGUAAAGCUGUCAGAGCGUCUGUGCGCGUCACACCUGUGCAGAAAGUGACUGCUGUCCUCAGCCCAUCUGUUUGCCUGCUCUUCACCUUCAGCCUCGGCCUGGAUCUGCAGCCAAUCAGACGCCAGCGCUGUUCAUUAAAGCAACAGUUCACCCUAAAAUCAGCACCGUUUACUCUCACUCGUGUCCUUCAGACCUGAGCUUGUUCUCUGGAGCUCAAAAGAAGAUAUUGCUUAUAUCAGACCCCAGUG